Molecule: ribosomal RNA, 466 nt
Filed under: uncultured bacterium
Lineage: Bacteria
Description: partial 16S ribosomal RNA
Rfam family: Bacterial small subunit ribosomal RNA
Source: RNAcentral
GACGAACGCUGGCGGCGUGCUUAACACAUGCAAGUCGAACGGAAAGGCCCUGCUUGCAGGGUACUCGAGUGGCGAACGGGUGAGUAACACGUGGGUGAUCUGCCCUGCACUUCGGGAUAAGCUUGGGAAACUGGGUCUAAUACCGGAUAGGAACCAUCUUUAGUGUGGUGGUUGGAAAGUUUUUUCGGUGUAGGAUGAGCUCGCGGCCUAUCAGCUUGUUGGUGGGGUAAUGGCCUACCAAGACGGCGACGGGUAGCCGGCCUGAGAGGGUGUACGGCCACAUUGGGACUGAGAUACGGCCCAGACUCCUACGGGAGGCAGCAGUGGGGAAUAUUGCACAAUGGGCGCAAGCCUGAUGCAGCGACGCCGCGUGGGGGAUGAAGGCCUUCGGGUUGUAAACUCCUUUCGCUAGGGACGAAGCUUUGUUGUGACGGUACCUAGAUAAGAAGCACCGGCUAACUACGUG